AUCAAGUUAGUUUAAAUAAAAUUCUGGGUUGUGGUCCUAGGGAUGGAAGUUAGAGUUUCCACUUGAUA
Molecule: transfer RNA, 68 nt
Filed under: Haliotis diversicolor
Lineage: Eukaryota; Metazoa; Mollusca; Gastropoda; Lepetellida; Haliotidae
Also listed under: 1 other name
Description: tRNA-His
Rfam family: tRNA
About the family: Transfer RNA (tRNA) molecules are approximately 80 nucleotides in length.
Source: RNAcentral